CACUCCUGCGGGAGGCAGCAGUGGGGAAUAUUGCACAAUGGGCGCAAGCCUGAUGCAGCCAUGCCGCGUGUAUGAAGAAGGCCUUCGGGUUGUAAAGUACUUUCAGCGGGGAGGAAGGCGAUAAGGUUAAUAACCUUGUUGAUUGACGUUACCCGCAGAAGAAGCACCGGCUAACUCCGUGCCAGCAGCCGCGGUAAUACGGAGGGUGCAAGCGUUAAUCGGAAUUACUGGGCGUAAAGCGCACGCAGGCGGUCUGUCAAGUCGGAUGUGAAAUCCCCGGGCUCAACCUGGGAACUGCAUUCGAAACUGGCAGGCUAGAGUCUUGUAGAGGGGGGUAGAAUUCCAGGUGUAGCGGUGAAAUGCGUAGAGAUCUGGAGGAAUACCGGUGGCGAAGGCGGCCCCCUGGACAAAGACUGACGCUCAGGUGCGAAAGCGUGGGGAGCAAACAGGAUUAGAAACCCCUGUAGUCCCAUGA
This 475-nucleotide ribosomal RNA is filed under the name uncultured organism. RNAcentral's name for it is "partial 16S ribosomal RNA". It matches the Rfam family "Bacterial small subunit ribosomal RNA", at positions 334 to 800 of the family's 1533-position model. The record is from RNAcentral.